AGAGCAUGAUAGGAGUUGAAGUUUCUCUCUCUCUCUCUGUUUCUCAGCCAAUAAAAGGCCUGGUGGUGUCCAUGCUCUGGCUGAGAAUGGACCCAAACGUGACAGAUAAAACUGAACAUGAGGUUCUCUUUUGCUCUCUUGGUCUGUGACAACCAAUGAUGUGCAGCUUUGCUGGAAAAACCUGGUAGAUGUUGAGGUCCACUUGUACAGUUUUCUUUUACCAGAUGUUACUUCUCAAGAAGGGAAGUGGAAAUGUGGCCUGCUAUAUAUAAUAUCUACUUUUGUUCUAAAAUGCAUCAGAAAAUAUGUGCUGCAUAAUAUAUGUGGCAGUGAGUGAGUGCCUUUUUAUCCUGGAUAUGUGCAUUCAGAAGCCAUUAAUACACUGUAAAAUAAAUAUUUUCUGGACAUGAUAACAGAUUUUUUGACAAAUGUAUUUCUGCAUUACGAAAUAUACAUUGUGAAGCAGUCUUGAAAGGAUAUGUGGAUAAGAGCUGGAACCUUUACAUUGUCUGGAAAAUCCCCUCUAACAGGAGCCACAAGGACCAUAUGUAGGACCACAUGAAGAGAUGAGCUGUAAAUGGGAAUUGCAUAGCAGCAAUUGCAGCCAGAAUUGAGGGGCGGGGCAGGCAUA
This 631-nucleotide long non-coding RNA is filed under the name Anolis carolinensis (green anole). RNAcentral describes it as "lncRNA (ENSACAG00000033514.2)". The record is from RNAcentral. Lineage: Eukaryota; Metazoa; Chordata; Lepidosauria; Squamata; Anolidae.